CACUUGGGAGGGAGACGUUCUUGCACUUACAGAGUCACAGAUGGAAACCUCAGGGGUCAAUCAAGAAGAAGACAAAGGACAGGUGGGGCCUGGGACAGCUCCAAACCAGCAGGUUUCUGGUGAAGGCUCUGGGAGCCUGAGUUUUAAUCCUGCCUCCCCCACUGAGAUGCUACUGUAGGAUUUUAAGCCUUGCACUUAACUGCCAGUUGCAUCUGCUUCUGGGAAACGAGGAGGAACAGAUUUCAGCAAAGAAGAAAAGGUUGGAAUAUGUGGGGAAGAGAGAAAUUAUAAGAAAACGCAUUCAAAGGACAGAAGCUGGAGAUGGGUCAGCUGUCAGUCAAAUGAAGAUUCCUUUUGGAAUGUGCCCUGGAAAAGCAGUUUGGAGUCAAGCCAACUGCUGGACUUUUUCUGGGGCUUUGGGCUUUCUGGCUGAGCUGAAGGAAAAAGCUGGUUUUAUCUCUGGGACUUGGGAUAAUCAAGCUGGAGGUGGCCUGGCAGAAGAAGAAGGCAGAAAAACUUAAUUUCAUAGAAGAAGAGAUUGAGGCAAAUGAUGGUCAGUGUAUCAUGGAAUACUAUUGCACAGUAAGAAAUGAUGAAAGGGAUUGUUUCAGAGAAACCUGGGAAGACGUGUAAAUGGAUGAAAAGUGAAGGGAAGAUUCAGUGUAGUGUGGAAUCCAUUGGGAAAUGACGACGGCAUUUCAAAACAGACAUAAAUUUCAUUUUUAAGGAAAAGAAAGUAAUUUUUUAAAGAGCUCAUUUGAUGUGCACAUGCCCAGAAUCACCACUCUGAAGGAAACUUCUCCAAGGAGAAACCAGUUCAGUGAAGAGUGGACUCACCUGUUGCUAUGGAGAACAAUGAAGUCAGCAGCAGUGGUGGGAUUUCUCCAUUUGAAGGGGCUUCAAAAGAAAUUGGAAAGUGAGCAUGGCUGUGCAUAAAACACACAGGUUUCUACAGACCAACUAAUUGUCACAGAUUGAAAUCACUCUGUCUAGCUCAACACUCUGUUCCUUGUUCAGUAAAGUCUGAACCAAGAGCUUUACAAGCUUCUACAACGCUUUGUUGCAAUUCUUAGGAGACACAACUUCUUUUAUUUCAACCUUCGGUCUCUACAGCUCCACAACUUGCCUGUCUUUUUUAUUUUGACUUGUUUGUGCUAUGAUUUUAACCCCUGUGUAUCUGUUCAGAGAUACCUCCCCAGAAAAUCCCUCCUGUGUCCCAAAUAUAGAAGAGUUGAAUAAGCAUCA
Monodelphis domestica (gray short-tailed opossum) is the source of this 1245-nucleotide long non-coding RNA. RefSeq lists it as uncharacterized. The record is from RefSeq and is a predicted model, not a curated record. NCBI's taxonomy places the organism in Eukaryota, Metazoa, Chordata, Mammalia, Didelphimorphia, Didelphidae.